This 1782-nucleotide long non-coding RNA is filed under the name Crocodylus porosus (Australian saltwater crocodile). Its description in RNAcentral is "lncRNA (ENSCPRG00005008676.1)". The record is from RNAcentral. Lineage: Eukaryota; Metazoa; Chordata; Crocodylia; Crocodylidae.
CUCCAGUCUGUGAAAGGCUUUUAUUUAGCAUGUGUGUCAAUGCUCUACUGCAUGAAACUGGAUUCUGUGAGUCACUGGGCAUGAAACAUCUCCAUGUCUUUCUAGUCAACUAUGAAGACUUAUAUGGCGGUCAGGAGGUCUUCUCACAGAGGGGGUCUCAAGGCAUUAGGCACUAAACAAAUACAGAAAACAAAACGAUGGCCCCUGCCCCGGUGACCUGAUAAUCUAAGUCAAGGUCCAUAGAGGUGAUCCCUGUUGCCCUGUGCUUUGUGCCAUCCUUUACACCGACACAAAGUGGUCUCAUGGUGACAUCUCCGAAUGUGAAGGUGUGUGUGCGUGGGAAGGGGUCGGGUCAGCAUGGAUGAGGGUUGUGCAGAGCAGAAAUGCCUUGAAAGCCCCCAGCACCAGAUCAUACCUGCUUAGUUCACCCUAGGGUGGAUGCUGCAGACUCUAGCCUUGUGCAGCAUCUUCCUACCUGCCUAGGGUUUUGCCUGCCAGAGGCUGGGACAUCCCACUGCAGAUGAAUGACUCAUCCCCACAAUGAAAGUUGAUGAACUUCCCAAAUGAGAAGGUUCUCCCUGUUUACACUGCACAGCCACCACCACCGGGGAUGUGUAUGGUCCUGGCUCUCUCUGUAUAUUCUGAAGGAAUAUAUUCUGUCUCUGCCUGGGAGAAGACAACUCCCACAUCUCCUUCCUCGCCAUGCUCCACCCCACCCAUCUCAAAGCAUCUCCUAGAUUCAUAGCUGUUAGGGUUGGAAGGGACCUCAGUAGGUCAAAUCCGACCCCCUGCCCUGGGCAGGAAAGAGUGCUAGGGUCAAUAGACCCCAGCUAGGUGCUUGUCCAGUCUCCUCUUGAAGACCCCCAAGAUCAGAGAGAGCACCACCUCCCUUGGAAGUCCAUUCCAGAUUUUGGCAACCCUCACGGCAUGGGUGCAUCAUGCAGCAGAACUCAUGUACAGCUCUGGCAGGUUUGCCGCUCAUCUCCUUCCACUGGUUCCUGGCGGCAGGGAUCCAACAGGAGACUUCUUGCUAGCUCCAGAGAAUCAGGACAGCCAUCCAAACCUGGAAAGCAACGCAAGGCCUCCAAUCACACAUCGUCCACUAGCAGCAAAGACUCUUCUGCUCUGGAAACCUUGCCUUUGGAGAGAGACAGGAGAAUCACAGAAAAUGAGGGCUGGAAGGGACCUCAGGAGGCCACAUCUAGUCCAACCCCCUGCUCGAAGCAGGACCAGCCCCACCUACAUCAUCCCAGCCAAGGCUUUGUCUAGACGGGUCUUAAAAAUCUCCAAGGAUGGAAAGUCCACAACCUCUCUGGGUAACCUGUUCCUGUGCUUUACUACCCUCCUUGUAGGAGAACUAUUUCCAUCCCCUUCACUCUCUGUCCUGGGACAGGUUUGGUCCAUGGCAUUGUAAAGCCUAAAGAGCAUGCACGCUAGGUUAGGCCUGAUGAGAGAUUUGGACCUUUCUCUAUGCAUCAGAGACUGAAACCAGCCUGCACAGAUGUCACCAUCCUGCUCCAGUAUUGUGUCACCUUUCCUAGCAUAAAUGCUGAUGCAAGGUGCUGGGCUGAAGACUCGGGUCCCUUCUCUUUAAGUGAAUUUGAAUUUCUCCUACCUGGAGAAAGAAAUGCUUCUAAUCAACAGAAGAGUUGGAUUUUCCCUUUGAGACAGCGCAAUUGUUUCCUUUUGUUUUUACAGGAAGUUAUUGCUAGUGGUCUUUUCUCCAGAAAUGAUCAACCCAAACCUACAUCCCAAACUAAUAAAUGUUCCUUUUAUUACUCA